UGGGGAAUUUUGGACAAUGGGCGAAAGCCUGAUCCAGCAAUGCCGCGUGUGUGAAGAAGGCCUUCGGGUUGUAAAGCACUUUUGUCCGGAAAGAAAUCCUUGGCUCUAAUACAGUCGGGGGAUGACGGUACCGGAAGAAUAAGCACCGGCUAACUACGUGCCAGCAGCCGCGGUAAUACGUAGGGUGCAAGCGUUAAUCGGAAUUACUGGGCGUAAAGCGUGCGCAGGCGGUUUGCUAAGACCGAUGUGAAAUCCCCGGGCUCAACCUGGGAACUGCAUUGGUGACUGGCAGGCUAGAGUAUGGCAGAGGGGGGUAGAAUUCCACGUGUAGCAGUGAAAUGCGUAGAGAUGUGGAGGAAUACCGAUGGCGAAGGCAGCCCCCUGGGCCAAAUACUGACGCUCAUGCACGAAAAGCGUGGGGAGCAAAACAGGAUUAGAUACCCUGGUAGUCCACGCCCUAAAACGAUGUCAACUAGUUGUUGGGGAUUCAUUUCCUUAGUAACGUAGCUAACGCGUGAAGUUGACCGCCUGGGGAGUACGGUCGCAAGAUUAAAACUCAAAUGAAUUGACGGGGUCAUA
This 579-nucleotide ribosomal RNA is filed under the name uncultured bacterium. RNAcentral describes it as "partial 16S ribosomal RNA". It matches the Rfam family "Bacterial small subunit ribosomal RNA", at positions 355 to 923 of the family's 1533-position model. The record is from RNAcentral.